UACGUAGGGUGCGAGCGUUAAUCGGAAUUACUGGGCGUAAAGCGUGCGCAGGCGGUGAUGUAAGACAGGUGUGAAAUCCCGGGGCUCAACCUCGGAACUGCAUUUGUGACUGCAUCGCUGGAGUGCGGCAGAGGGGGAUGGAAUUCCGCGUGUAGCAGUGGAAAUGCGUAGAUAUGCGGAGGAACACCGAUGGCGAAGGCAAUCCCCUGGGCCUGCACUGACGCUCAUGCACGAAAGCGUGGGGAGCAAACAGG
Molecule: ribosomal RNA, 254 nt
Filed under: uncultured bacterium
Lineage: Bacteria
Description: partial 16S ribosomal RNA
Rfam family: Bacterial small subunit ribosomal RNA
Source: RNAcentral